UUAAGUUCAGCGGGUAUCCCUACCUGAUCCGAGGUCAACCAUAGAAAGUUUGGGGUUGAUGGCGAGCAUCCACCGGGACCCUGUAGCGAGAAGAGUUACUACGCUCAGAGCCAGAUGGCGCCGCCACUGAUUUUAAGGGCUGCCGGUGUGGCAGGCCCCAACACCAAGCUGAGCUUGAGGGGUUAUAAUGACGCUCGAAC
This 200-nucleotide unclassified non-coding RNA is filed under the name Leohumicola sp. RNAcentral's name for it is "partial internal transcribed spacer 2". The record is from RNAcentral. Lineage: Eukaryota; Fungi; Ascomycota; Leotiomycetes.